UACGUAGGGGGCUAGCGUUGUCCGGAAUCAUUGGGCGUAAAGCGCGCGUAGGCGGCCAGAUAAGUCCGGUGUGAAAGUCACAGGCUCAACCUGUGAAUGCCGCUGGAAACUGUCUGGCUAGAGUCCGGAAGGGGCGAGUGGAAUUCCUGGUGUAGUGGUGAAAUGCGUAGAGAUGUGGAGGAAUACCGAUGGCGAAGGCAGCCCCCUGGGAUAACACUGACGCUCAUGCACGAAAGCGUGGGGAGCAAACAGG
RNAcentral lists this ribosomal RNA (253 nucleotides) under uncultured bacterium. RNAcentral's name for it is "partial 16S ribosomal RNA". It matches the Rfam family "Bacterial small subunit ribosomal RNA", at positions 524 to 776 of the family's 1533-position model. The record is from RNAcentral.